GAGUAACGCGUGGGAUUAUCUACCUACUGGUACGGGACAACAGUUGGAAACGACUGCUAAUACCGUAUACGCUGGUAACGGGAAAGGGGGCCUCUUCUUGAAAGCUCUCGCCAGUAGAUGAGUCCGCGUUUCAUUAGCUAGACGGUGGGGUAACGGCCUACCGUGGCAACGAUGAAUAGCAGGCCUGAGAGGGUGGCCUGCCACACUGGGACUGGAACACGGCCCAGACUCCUACGGGAGGCAGAAUCGGGGAAUAUUGCGCAAUGGACGAAAGUCUGACGCGGCGACGCCGCGGGGAGGAUGAAGGUUUUCGGAUCGUAAACUCCUGUCAAGAGGGAAGAAACCUAUUAUGAAUAAUACUCAUGGUAAUUGACGGGACCUCUAGAGGAAGCACCGGCUAAUUCAGUGCCAGCAGCCGCGGAAAUACUGAAGGUGCUAGCGUUAAUCGGAAUCACUGGGCGUAAAGCGCUCGUAUGUGGCUUUGAAAGUCAGGUGUGAAAGUCCACGGCUCAACCGUGGAAUUGCACUUGAUACUGCAUCGCUAGAGUAUAGGAGAGGGAAGUGGAAUUUCUGGUGUAGGAGUGAAAUCCGUAGAGAUCAAAGGAACACCCGUGGCUGAAGGGACUUCCUGGACUAUUACUGACACUGAGGAGCGAAAGCGUGGGAGCAAACAGGAUUAGAUACCCUGCAGUCCACGACGUAAACGAUGGUACUAGGUG
This 719-nucleotide ribosomal RNA is filed under the name Halodesulfovibrio marinisediminis. RNAcentral describes it as "bacterial SSU rRNA". It matches the Rfam family "Bacterial small subunit ribosomal RNA", at positions 108 to 822 of the family's 1533-position model. RNAcentral also lists the same sequence under 1 other name. The record is from RNAcentral. Lineage: Bacteria; Pseudomonadati; Thermodesulfobacteriota; Desulfovibrionia; Desulfovibrionales; Desulfovibrionaceae.